Molecule: ribosomal RNA, 460 nt
Filed under: uncultured bacterium
Lineage: Bacteria
Description: partial 16S ribosomal RNA
Rfam family: Bacterial small subunit ribosomal RNA
Source: RNAcentral
CCUACGUGGUGCAGCAGUGAGGAAUAUUGGUCAAUGGACGAGAGUCUGAACCAGCCAAGUAGCGUGAAGGAUGACUGCCCUAUGGGUUGUAAACUUCUUUUAUAAAGGAAUAAAACGAGGCACGUGUGCCUUUUUGCAUGUACUUUAUGAAUAAGGAUCGGCUAACUCCGUGCCAGCAGCCGCGGUAAUACGGAGGAUCCGAGCGUUAUCCGGAUUUAUAAGGUUUAAAGGGAGCGUAGAUGGGUUGUUAAGUCAGUUGUGAAAGUUUGCGGCUCAACCGUAAAAUUGCAAUUGAUACUGGCAGUCUUGAGUACAGUUGAGGUAGGCGGAAUUCGUGGUGUAGCGGUGAAAUGCUUAGAUAUCACGAAGAACCCCGAUUGCGAAGGCAGCUUACUAAACUGUGACUGACAUUGAUGCUCGAAAGUGUGUGUAUCAAACAGGAUUAGAUACCCCUGUAGUC